UCUGUCUCUAUCUUUUCCUCCUUCGCGGACCGCUUAGUGGAGCAUAGCUUCGUUAUGGCCGUCUGAACUAUUUCCCUCUUCAAUUAUUUCUUGGGGAAUCAUCGAAGAGAGGAGAAGGGUUUUAGUGAUGGAUAAGAACGAAGAGACGGGGAGCCCUGGUUGGGGUACUUCACUUUUCGUACAAACCACUGAAGAUGUUGCAAGAGCUGUGGCUGCUGCAGCUGCUGCUGCAACCGAUGCUCGCUCUCCUCGUCCUUCUGUUAUAUACUCUUCAAAAGACGAUGAGGGUGGCAGUCCACUUCAGAGACUGCAGCGUCAAGUUAAUAAAGUGCUUAAAGGAUUCUCUAGUCCUCCUCAAGUAAAAACUGCAGGAACCUACAAUCCUGAAG
This 389-nucleotide unclassified non-coding RNA is filed under the name Hevea brasiliensis (rubber tree). The record is from RNAcentral. Lineage: Eukaryota; Viridiplantae; Streptophyta; Magnoliopsida; Malpighiales; Euphorbiaceae.